CACUCAUUCAAUUCAUAAAUAUCGUUCUGACUGUGCACUAAUUGAAUAGUGUAGAUAAACCUUUUCACAGAAAUGUUUCUUAGUUUUUCGGGGGGAAAAAAGUCCUCUAUCUUUUUGAACUCCAUAUUCACCAAUCACCAUGCUUUCAAGGUUCUGACACUAGAGAUCAAAUGAGUCACCGUAACACUUUUUCCAUUUGGUGUAUUACUUGGAAAUGCAAUCCGUUAUUAGUACUGUGAUUAGUGUGACUAAAGAUGAUAUUAUUUGAUUACGACUGGUCUCCUUAAUAUGCUACAUGGACCACUCCUAUUUGUAGAAUGCUACAUUUUCGAAAUAAAGGAGUCAAGAGAGCAGUAGGCGAAAUACUCAAAAAUCAGUGUGAAGAGAUCUCAAUUAGAAUUCAUUAAUUCAUUAAUUUUGAAAAAAAAAUAGAGCUUACUAAUAGAAUAGAGAGCAUCCGUACUCAAAUUCCAGAUAGUGCCUUAUACAUAAUACUUUAUAAUGCAUAAUGCAUUACAAUCUGAUGCAGUGUGCAAUCUGUAUCAUCCAAAUAAGUUAACGUAGGCCAACCUACAUAGUCAAAACUUAUUUUAUUAACGGACAUUAAAUGUAAAAUGCCUUUAAGGGCGGCCUUGUGAAGCCGUUAUUUACCAGCUGUUACCAUCUCCCCAUCUAGCAAAGGCCAAGUGCUGUUGUUGUUGCCACUACCUGAAUGAAUAUGUGUGACUUUCUUUAAACACAGAACCAGACAUGUAGACGCGGAUGCCUUUUUCGAGAAACACAAGUCACUGGAGGUUCAAAUCUUGAGUCGUACGUCAGUGAAACAUAUUGCUCAAUCGCUUCCCAAACCACAAGGGAGUUGGGAGGAAAUGCUGACCACAAUGCCGUCGGUUCAGGGGUGGACGUGGUUGUGAUCUUUAAGAUGCAUACAGGAGAGUAGUGGAGUAAAGUUCCAUUCCGACGAGAUGUUUCCAUGCGUGGGGUCUUUAGAGGAAGGAAGCGCCAGUCGUGGCGAGUCAUGUGGGAUGGACAAAUGUUUCUGCCAGCCCUUGAGGUUCCAUUUUAGACUCUUUUGUGGCAAAUGGAAGGUAGAUUGUAGAUAGAUAUUUUUAACACGAGUCACAAUGAUAAUAGUCUUUAAGAAGACCUUGAUGAUGGACCCCAGAGACCAGUUAUUGUUAAACUCCAUAUUCCUCUUUACUAUAAUUUUACUGUAAUCUUUAUAUUAAUUUCCCUCUAACAUAAAACAUUUAGGAUUGCGCAGUGUCCCCUAUCAAGACAUGCAUGUUGACUUCAGUGACUACUGCAUAAGGAGUCAGCAUGUGGCCCAUGAUUGGGAAAGAUGUGGUAACUGGGAGGCAGUUCAUGCUUUUGUGUUGAGUACUUUGAACUACAGGGGAAAAGUACGUGCUUGGAGUAGAUAAGGGCAGAGAAUUUUUCCACUGCCUUGUAACACACCAGUGAGAUGUGCUCUGGCUUAGUCAACACAGGCAGGACAGAGCAGGACACCCAGGACGCCAUUACCUACCUCCAGCACUCUCGUUGUCCACAGUGAUCUGAGCCCACCUGGGUUGCUACCGCAGACCACCUGUGUUCUGAGGGUGACGUCGGACCACCAGGUUGUAUGACUUGGGGGUGGGAGAACUGUUUGAUCUGACGGUUCUGGUUCCUAGCAGAGCCUUGUCCCUCUGAUAGCAGAUACUCAGGUAGCCGUCACCUGAAACCAGCUGUAACCCAGGGAGAGAAGAACUAAGGCGGGAGAUGAAGGAUCAGUUGGAUGACCCUGUUCACAGCAGCAGUUGUUUUGGCUCUCUUGCGGUUCCACACACCUGGGACAUAGCUGCGGGGGGAACAGGGAGCGCUGCCAACACUCCAGCAGAUUCCAGAGCCCAACGCCUGGGCACAGCCACACAUUCCGAUACGCAUUCCAACUUUUAAAGGCCCAGGACGCUUUUUUUGUUACUACAAAUCCCCCCACUCACACAACCGCAGGCUUCAUUCAUGAGGUGGGGGGGUUGGCUGGAGCUGUCAAGCCUGGAGAUCAAGUGUUGCCCUCUUAAGUUCAGUUUGAGUGAAGCGGUUCCAGUGGUGUUUGACACACUGUGACACAUCACCCGUCAACAUAACUCACUUCAAUUGAACACAGCGUUUGGAGGGUCAAAGGUUCAAUUCUACAUGUCCUGCAAUGGGCCUUCAGCACAGAUUCCGAGCUUGCGUUAGAAUGGAGACCUUGGAGGGGUUUUUAACAGAUGAGAGGCUUACUGCGUCAGAGAGGCCCUCUAAAGAGGACAAGGAGGAAGUACACAUCUAAGGAGUGAGGAAGAAAGAACGAGUGAAAAGAGGAAUUGAGGGAAGCAAGGAGGGUGUCGUGCCAAAAAUAGUCCCCCCCUACACACACAUACACCCACGCACCCUGCCAAAAGCCCCUGCCACGCCCCCCUUCAUUGCCAUCUUAGUCAGCGGACCCUCAGCCGACCAUAGUUGUCAAGAAAACAGGCACCACAUCAGCGUUGGCUCCUUGUGUCCAGUGCCUGUGUCUCCCAUCAUGACCACCAGAAGCUGACAGAAAAGCUCAGCUCCAAUGAGCGCACAUAGUGCCAGUGCUUGACUGGGAUGAACAGGACCUCACCAGGCUGAAGAACACACUCCUGAUAGGACGCCUUCAGGAAGUCUGGAAAACUGACCGUUUCGGGGUUCUCCACGUCUACCUGCACCACACAUAGUCAUGGCUCACUAGAUGUCAUGCAUCGUUGAUGCUUUGAUGUUCAUUGUUGCUCAUUUGUGUUUGAUUUUAUUUGACACCUUACCAGCAUAUAGAACUCAGUGAAAAGUAAUACUAAAAUAAUGCAUCCAACAGUAUACAGGAAGGGGUCACGGGUGCACUUGGAAACAACCUGCCUUACCUGACUGGUGUUAUGGAGGAGCUGGGACUGAUGGGGAUAGAGUCUCUCCGUCUCCUCUGGAGAGUACAGACGAAUGUACUUCCUGCCCACCACCUGGAAAAGAGGACAAGAAAAUUAAGAUAACGAUCAACACCUACACACACAACACACACACACACCGAGUAAGAACUCUUCUAAACUACACACCUGAGCCAGAAAGUUCUGCUGGGGGUCCUGAUGAAGUGGGGAGAUGGUGCCUCUGGGUCCAAACCAAGCAUUGAUGGUGAUGUUUUCUUCCUCUCCCUCACCAAGACAACAGUAGUCAGGGAUUCGAAUGUCUUCUUUCAGCUCAGGGAUCUGAAGUCCAACACAGUUAAUUUAUGACAAUCAGAUGACUUCUUUGCAAAGUGAUGACAUAGGCCUGAUACUUUUAUAUAAUACAUUUGCGAACAUUUCUAAAAUUCUGUUUUCACUUUGUCAUUAUGGGGUAUUGGGUGCAGAUUGAUGAGGGAAAAAUGUAUUUAAACGACUAAAGCAUAAAGUUUGCAACAUGAAAAAAAGUGGAGGGGUCUGUAUACUUUCUGAAUACAAUGCAUAUCUCAAAUACUUGACUGUUUAAUAUUAAAUGUAAUUCGUGCAAUGGUA
This is a long non-coding RNA of Clupea harengus (Atlantic herring), 3527 nucleotides long. RefSeq lists it as uncharacterized. NCBI's taxonomy places the organism in Eukaryota, Metazoa, Chordata, Actinopteri, Clupeiformes, Clupeidae. The record is from RefSeq and is a predicted model, not a curated record.